Molecule: long non-coding RNA, 545 nt
Organism: Capsicum annuum
Lineage: Eukaryota; Viridiplantae; Streptophyta; Magnoliopsida; Solanales; Solanaceae
Exons: 4
Source: RefSeq, a predicted model, not a curated record
GAGUUUGAUGCUGCCGAACGCCAGCUACUUCAACUGUAAGUCUCUCUUUGAAACAUACAUGGGAUUGCUGACUCCGAUGUGAUGGACAAGAAGGAAGUCAAACAAAAGGUAAUGAAGUUACCGAGAAAGUCCAAUGCAAUGUGCAACGAGUUUCAAUUGUGAUGCAGUGUGGUGAAUUUACGUCACCAAGAAUCAUCCACCGAUAAGCAUUUGGAGACUGGAGUUGAGAGACUGCUGUUUCUAAUGAUCAAGAUGUUGAUGCUGCAUUUGGCCUCAUGUGCAACAAUUGCAAGUUGAAUAUCUUCGACAGGCCCAACAUGGCUAUCGGCCUCCUUCACUGAUGAGCACGCUUCUCCUAUUCCUUUGUCAAGAAUACUCAAGGUGGCACCUUCAAGUCCAUUAAAUACAGGAUUGAUGAGCUUGACGAAGAGAAGUCUGUUAUCUAGCUGCUACUCAAUUAGAAAUGAAGCAACUUUUACUCAGAUACACAUCAUAGAAACUAUCACCUUAGUGGGAUUGCAUCACAAAGUCUAAUGCAGCAAGGU